CCGGAUUAAUACCGCAUACGCUCUGAGGAGGAAAGCGGGGGAUCUUUCGGGACCUCGCGCUCAAGGGCCGGCCGAUGGCAGAUUAGCUAGUUGGUGGGGUAAAGGCCUACCAAGGCGACGAUCUGUAGCUGGUCUGAGAGGACGACCAGCCACACUGGGACUGAGACACGGCCCAGACUCCUACGGGAGGCAGCAGUGGGGAAUUUUGGACAAUGGGCGCAAGCCUGAUCCAGCAAUGCCGCGUGUGUGAAGAAGGCCUUCGGGUUGUAAAGCACUUUUGUCCGGAAAGAAAUCCUUUGGGCUAAUACCCUGGGGGGAUGACGGUACCGGAAGAAUAAGCACCGGCUAACUACGUGCCAGCAGCCGCGGUAAUACGUAGGGUGCAAGCGUUAAUCGGAAUUACUGGGCGUAAAGCGUGCGCAGGCGGUUCGCUAAGACAGAUGUGAAAUCCCCGGGCUUAACCUGGGAACUGCAUUUGUGACUGGCGGGCUAGAGUAUGGCAGAGGGGGGUAGAAUUCCACGUGUAGCAGUGAAAUGCGUAGAGAUGUGGAGGAAUACCGAUGGCGAAGGCAGCCCCCUGGGCCAAUACUGACGCUCAUGCACGA
This 605-nucleotide ribosomal RNA is filed under the name uncultured Burkholderia sp. RNAcentral describes it as "bacterial SSU rRNA". It matches the Rfam family "Bacterial small subunit ribosomal RNA", at positions 158 to 756 of the family's 1533-position model. The record is from RNAcentral. Lineage: Bacteria; Pseudomonadati; Pseudomonadota; Betaproteobacteria; Burkholderiales; Burkholderiaceae.